UACGGAGCAGGCAAGCGUUAUCCGGAAUUAUUGGGCGUAAAGCGUCCGCAGGUGGCUAUUCAAGUCUGCGGUCAAAGACUGGGGCUUAACCCUGGAAAGGCCGUGGAAACUGAAGAGCUAGAGUGCAGUAGGGGUAGAGGGAAUUCCCGGUGUAGCGGUGAAAUGCGUAGAGCUCGGGAAGAACAUCGGUGGCGAAAGCGCUCUGCUGGACUGCAACUGACACUCAGGGACGAAAGCUAGGGGAGCGAAUGGG
This 253-nucleotide ribosomal RNA is filed under the name uncultured bacterium. RNAcentral's name for it is "partial 16S ribosomal RNA". It matches the Rfam family "Bacterial small subunit ribosomal RNA", at positions 524 to 776 of the family's 1533-position model. The record is from RNAcentral.